Molecule: ribosomal RNA, 331 nt
Filed under: uncultured bacterium
Lineage: Bacteria
Description: bacterial SSU rRNA
Rfam family: Bacterial small subunit ribosomal RNA
Source: RNAcentral
UUCGUAGGCGGUGCGGCAAGUCGGAAGUGAAAUCCCUGGGCUUAACUCAGGGGCUGCUCCCGAAACUGCCGUGCUCGAGUGCGGGAGAGGCGAGUGGAAUUGCAGGUGUAGCGGUGAAAUGCGUAGAUAUCUGCAGGAACACCCGUGGCGAAGGCGGCUCGCUGGACCGCAACUGACGCUGAGGAACGAAAGCUAGGGGAGCAAACAGGAUUAGAUACCCUGGUAGUCCUAGCCCCUAAACCAUCAGGACUUGGGGUGCAUCCCGUUCGGGGUGCGUCCCGGAGCUAACGCGUUAAGUCCUGCGCCUGGGGAGUACGGUCGCAAGGCUGAA